GAUGAACGCUGGCGGCGUGCCUAAUACAUGCAAGUCGAGCGAGCAGAACCAGCAGAUUUACUUCGGUAAUGACGCUGGGGACGCGAGCGGCGGAUGGGUGAGUAACACGUGGGGAACCUGCCCCAUAGUCUGGGAUACCACUUGGAAACAGGUGCUAAUACCGGAUAAUAAAGCAGAUCGCAUGAUCAGCUUAUAAAAGGCGGCGUAAGCUGUCGCUAUGGGAUGGCCCCGCGGUGCAUUAGCUAGUUGGUAAGGUAACGGCCUACCAAGGCAAUGAUGCAUAGCCGAGUUGAGAGACUGAACGGCCACAUUGGGACUGAGACACGGCCCAAACUCCUACGGGAGGCAGCAGUAGGGAAUCUUCCACAAUGGACGCAAGUCUGAUGGAGCAACGCCGCGUGAGUGAAGAAGGUUUUCGGAUCGUAAAGCUCUGUUGUUGGUGAAGAAGGAUAGAGGUAGUAACUGGCCUUUAUUUGACGGUAAUCAACCAGAAAGUCACGGCUAACUACGUGCCAGCAGCCGCGGUAAUACGUAGGUGGCAAGCGUUGUCCGGAUUUAUUGGGCGUAAAGCGAGCGCAGGCGGAAGAAUAAGUCUGAUGUGAAAGCCCUCGGCUUAACCGAGGAAUUGCAUCGGAAACUGUUUUUCUUGAGUGCAGAAGGAGGAGAGUGGAACUCCAUGUGUAGCGGUGGAAUGCGUAGAUUAUAUGGAAGAACACCAGUGGCGAAGGCGGCUCUCUGGUCUGCAACUGACGCUGAGGCUCGAAAGCAUGGGUAGCGAACAGGAUUAGAUACCCUGGUAGUCCAUGCCGUAAACGAUGAGUGCUAAGUGUUGGGAGGUUUCCGCCUCUCAGUGCUGCAGCUAACGCAUUAAGCACUCCGCCUGGGGAGUACGACCGCAAGGUUGAAACUCAAAGGAAUUGACGGGGGCCCGCACAAGCGGUGGAGCAUGUGGUUUAAUUCGAAGCAACGCGAAGAACCUUACCAGGUCUUGACAUCUAGUGCCAUCCUAAGAGAUUAGGAGUUCCCUUCGGGGACGCUAAGACAGGUGGUGCAUGGCUGUCGUCAGCUCGUGUCGUGAGAUGUUGGGUUAAGUCCCGCAACGAGCGCAACCCUUAUUAUUAGUUGCCAGCAUUAAGUUGGGCACUCUAAUGAGACUGCCGGUGACAAACCGGAGGAAGGUGGGGAUGACGUCAAGUCAUCAUGCCCCUUAUGACCUGGGCUACACACGUGCUACAAUGGGCAGUACAACGAGAAGCGAACCUGCGAAGGCAAGCGAAUCUCUGAAAGCUGUUCUCAGUUCGGACUGCAGUCUGCAACUCGACUGCACGAAGCUGGAAUCGCUAGUAAUCGCGGAUCAGAACGCCGCGGUGAAUACGUUCCCGGGCCUUGUACACACCGCCCGUCACACCAUGGAAGUCUGCAAUGCCCAAAGCCGGUGGCCUAACCUUCGGGAAGGAGCCGUCUAAGGCAGGGCAGGUGACUGGGGUG
This 1488-nucleotide ribosomal RNA is filed under the name Lactobacillus gallinarum. RNAcentral's name for it is "bacterial SSU rRNA". It matches the Rfam family "Bacterial small subunit ribosomal RNA". Lineage: Bacteria; Bacillati; Bacillota; Bacilli; Lactobacillales; Lactobacillaceae. The record is from RNAcentral.